This is a long non-coding RNA of Colossoma macropomum (tambaqui), 747 nucleotides long. RefSeq lists it as uncharacterized. NCBI's taxonomy places the organism in Eukaryota, Metazoa, Chordata, Actinopteri, Characiformes, Serrasalmidae. The record is from RefSeq and is a predicted model, not a curated record. The transcript is spliced from 4 exons.
GUAUUUGCAAUCCUGUUUGCAACUGCAUUUCCACUUUUAGCAAGGCAGUCCUGUCAUUUAAGAGCUGUGGGUUUGGUGGAUGUAUCAAGCGGUUUAAAAGAAGACGCGAUAUCCGUCUGAACAGACACCAAUCACUGCGCCUUUGGAAGGUUCUCGUUUGAGAAAGUCUUCAGCGAGCCGCCCACCGCAUACGGCCUUACUGUCUCAUUGAUCCAGAAGCUGACUGGAUUUGUCUGUGUGCCACAACAACAUACUGGCAGUGGUCAAAUAAUGCACACAAGUUAAAAAACUGCAUUCUGUACUAUUAACUACCAUCCAUCCAUCCAUCAUCUAAACCGCUUAUCCUUCUGGGUCGCGGUGGGGUGCUGGAGCCUAUCCCAGCUGUCAUUGGGCGGAAGGCAGGAUACACCCUGGACAGCUACAGUUCUGAAGUGGAACAACAAAGCCACAGCUCAUGAGAUGGAUGCUGCCUUGGCCAAUCACCUCAAGCAUGCCCCCUGCAGAGCUUUUAUCUUUCUUUUCUUUUCUUAUUUGACUUCUCAGAAACUAAAAUGAACAAGAUUUUGUCUUGUUAAAUAAUUACCUUGAUUUCUUUUACAUUAAAACAUUGAAAAUCUUAUACAGUACUGACACAGCUUAUGGUUCAAAGGUGAAAAUUCUUUCUGAAUUGAUGCAUAGGAUCUUAUAUGUCUUAGUCCUGAUGAAGUUCAUGGUCCAGUUUUAUGUUCCACAAAUGAAAUUAAGAAU